AUUGAACGCUGGCGGCAUGCCUUACACAUGCAAGUCGAACGGCAGCACGGGUGCUUGCACCUGGUGGCGAGUGGCGAACGGGUGAGUAAUACAUCGGAACAUGUCCUGUAGUGGGGGAUAGCCCGGCGAAAGCCGGAUUAAUACCGCAUACGAUCUACGGAUGAAAGCGGGGGACCUUCGGGCCUCGCGCUAUAGGGUUGGCCGAUGGCUGAUUAGCUAGUUGGUGGGGUAAAGGCCUACCAAGGCGACGAUCAGUAGCUGGUCUGAGAGGACGACCAGCCACACUGGGACUGAGACACAGCCCAGACUCCUACGGGAGGCAGCAGUGGGGAAUUUUGGACAAUGGGCGAAAGCCUGAUUCAGCAAUGCCGCGUGUGUGAAGAAGGCCUUCGGGUUGUAAAGCACUUUUGUCCGGAAAGAAAUCCUUGGCCCUAAUACGGUCGGGGGAUGACGGUACCGGAAGAAUAAGCACCGGCUAACUACGUG
This 486-nucleotide ribosomal RNA is filed under the name uncultured bacterium. Its description in RNAcentral is "partial 16S ribosomal RNA". It matches the Rfam family "Bacterial small subunit ribosomal RNA", at positions 30 to 507 of the family's 1533-position model. The record is from RNAcentral.